This 650-nucleotide ribosomal RNA is filed under the name uncultured archaeon. Its description in RNAcentral is "bacterial SSU rRNA". It matches the Rfam family "Archaeal small subunit ribosomal RNA", at positions 151 to 801 of the family's 1478-position model. The record is from RNAcentral.
UGAACGGAUCGAUAUUUGCUGGAUGCUUUAUGCGUCAAAAGGAUUCGUCUGCCCAAGGAUGGGUCUGCGGCCUAUCAGGUAGUAGUGGGUGUAAUGUACCUACUAGCCAGCGACGGGUACGGGUUGUGAGAGCAAGAGCCCGGAGAUGGAUUCUGAGACAUGAAUCCAGGCCCUACGGGGCGCAGCAGGCGCGAAAACUUUACAAUGCGGGAAACCGUGAUAAGGGGACACCGAGUGCCAGCAUCAUAUGCUGGCUGUCCGGAUGUGUAAAAUACAUCCGUUAGCAAGGGCCGGGCAAGACCGGUGCCAGCCGCCGCGGUAACACCGGCGGCCCGAGUGGUGAUCGUGAUUAUUGGGUCUAAAGGGUCCGUAGCCGGUUUGGUCAGUCCUCCGGGAAAUCUGAUAGCUCAACUAUUAGGCUUUCGGGGGAUACUGCCAGACUUGGAACCGGGAGAGGUAAGAGGUACUACAGGGGUAGGAGUGAAAUCUUGUAAUCCCUGUGGGACCACCUGUGGCGAAGGCGUCUUACCAGAACGGGUUCGACGGUGAGGGACGAAAGCUGGGGGCACGAACCGGAUUAGAUACCCGGGUAGUCCCAGCCGUAAACGAUGCUCGCUAGGUGUCAGGCAUGGCGCGACCGUGUCUGGUGC